This 546-nucleotide long non-coding RNA is filed under the name Sorghum bicolor (sorghum). Its description in RNAcentral is "long non-coding RNA (SBIC_LNC013997)". The record is from RNAcentral. Lineage: Eukaryota; Viridiplantae; Streptophyta; Magnoliopsida; Poales; Poaceae.
UGGUUUAAUAUGUAGCGUGUUUUUCAGGCCUUUGACUGCUGCACUAAUUUGAUUGGAUUUGCGAUGUUGCAGUGACAACAACAGAGCAGGCAAUUUAGGAAACAAUAAUGUUAUUGCAGCCAAUGAUCUGAACAUCAUGCAAUUAAAAUAAGCCUAAUUGAAACCCUAACCCCCAAAUCUCAACGGAAGCCUUUUCGGGCGUUUCCCAGCUGCUGCGAUCUUCUCCUUGCCCGUGAAGAUCUUCUCCUUGGGCGCGGAUGUGGAGGCUGUCCUCUUGGCGGCCGCCACACGGCCCUCCCUCUUGCCCGCCGGGGAGGCUGGACCGGCGCUCUUCUAGCUGGCGGCCCUCUUCUUGGGCACGGAGGAGGCGGUCGUCUUGCCGGCUACCACACGGCCCUCCGUCUUGCCCGCUGAUGACACCUUCCCGGAGGGGGCGAACUGGCCCCGCGGAUUGCGCAACUGCAUCCUCGCCAGCUUGCGAUGUGGGAAGCGGAGAUGCUCAGAGGCUUAGGCGGAGCCUUAAUGCCGCGGCGGAUGAAGUAUUAA